GGGGGCACCCUGAUCCAGCCAUGCCGCGUGAGUGAAGAAGGCCUUCGGGUUGUAAAGCUCUUUCAGGUGGAAAGAAAUCUCCCGGGUGAAUACCCUGGGAGGAUGACGGUACCAUCAGAAGAAGCACCGGCUAACUACGUGCCAGCAGCCGCGGUAAUACGUAGGGUGCGAGCGUUAAUCGGAAUUACUGGGCGUAAAGCGUGCGCAGGCGGUUUUGUAAGACAGGUGUGAAAUCCCCGGGCUUAACCUGGGAACUGCGUUUGUGACUGCAAGGCUAGAGUACGGCAGAGGGGGGUGGAAUUCCUGGUGUAGCAGUGAAAUGCGUAGAGAUCAGGAGGAACACCGAUGGCGAAGGCAGCCCCCUGGGCCUGUACUGACGCUCAUGCACGAAAGCGUGGGGAGCAAACAGGAUUAGAUACCCUGGUAGUCCACGCCCUAAACGAUGUCGACUAGUCGUUCGGAGCAGCAAUGCACUGAGUGACGCAGCUAACGCGUGAAGUCGACCGCCUGGGGAGUACGGCCGCAAGGUUAAAACUCAAAGGAAUUGACGGGGACCCGCACAAGCGGUGGAUGAUGUGGAUUAAUUCGAUGCAACGCGAAAAACCUUACCUACCCUUGACAUGUCUGGAACCUUGCUGAGAGGCGAGGGUGCCUUCGGGAGCCAGAACACAGGUGCUGCAUGGCUGUCGUCAGCUCGUGUCGUGAGAUGUUGGGUUAAGUCCCGCAACGAGCGCAACCCUUGUCACUAGUUGCCAUCAUUUGGUUGGGCACUCUAGUGAGACUGCCGGUGACAAACCGGAGGAAGGUGGGGGAUGACGUCAAGUCCUCAUGGCCCUUAUGGGUAGGGCUUCACACGUCAUACAAUGGUCGGUACAGAGGGUUGCCAAGCCGCGAGGUGGAGCCAAUCCCUUAAAGCCGAUCGUAGUCCGGAUCGUAGUCUGCAACUCGACUACGUGAAGUCGGAUCGCUAGUAGUCGCAGAUCAGCAUGCUGCGGUGAAUACGUUCCCCGGGUCUUGUACACACCGCCCGUCACACAUGGGGAGAUGGGGGUUUACCAGAAAUAAGGCAGCUUAUCCGCCAAGGAGAGGCGCUUAUCCCCCCUU
Molecule: ribosomal RNA, 1104 nt
Filed under: uncultured bacterium
Lineage: Bacteria
Description: bacterial SSU rRNA
Rfam family: Bacterial small subunit ribosomal RNA
Source: RNAcentral